RNAcentral lists this ribosomal RNA (1394 nucleotides) under uncultured bacterium. Its description in RNAcentral is "bacterial SSU rRNA". It matches the Rfam family "Bacterial small subunit ribosomal RNA". The record is from RNAcentral.
GAGUUUGAUCAUGGCUCAGGAUGAACGCUAGCGGCAGGCCUAACACAUGCAAGUCGAGGGGUAAGCGUAGCUUGCUACGCCUAGACCGGCGCACGGGUGCGUAACGCGUGUACAAUCUACCUUUUACUGGGGAAUAGCCCGAAGAAAUUUGGAUUAAUGCCCCAUAGUAUAGAGCAGUGGCAUCACAGCACUAUUAAAGCUUCGGUGGUAAGAGAUGAGUACGCGUUCUAUUAGUUAGUUGGUGAGGUAACGGCUCACCAAGGCUAUGAUAGAUAGGGGUUCUGAGAGGGAUGUCCCCCACACUGGUACUGAGAUACGGACCAGACUCCUACGGGAGGCAGCAGUGAGGAAUAUUGGUCAAUGGUCGGAAGACUGAACCAGCCAUGCCGCGUGCAGGAUGACGGCCUUAUGGGUUGUAAACUGCUUUUGUAUGGGAAGAAUAAGGGGUACGUGUACUCUGAUGACGGUACUAUAUGAAUAAGCAUCGGCUAACUCCGUGCCAGCAGCCGCGGUAAUACGGAGGAUGCGAGCGUUAUCCGGAAUCAUUGGGUUUAAAGGGUCUGUAGGCGGGCUAUUAAGUCAGAGGUGAAAGCACUGAGCUCAACUGAGUAACUGCCUUUGAAACUGAUAGUCUUGAAUACUUACGAAGUAGCUGGAAUGUGUAGUGUAGCGGUGAAAUGCUUAGAUAUUACACAGAACACCGAUAGCGAAGGCAUGUUACUAGUAAGGUUAUUGACGCUGAGGGACGAAAGCGUGGGGAGCGAACAGGAUUAGAUACCCUGGUAGUCCACGCUGUAAACGAUGGAUACUAGCUGUUUGCGAGAAAUUGUGAGUGGCUAAGGAAAAGUGAUAAGUAUCCCACCUGGGGAGUACGCACGCAAAGUGUGAAACUCAAAGGAAUUGACGGGGGCCCGCACAAGCGGUGGAGCAUGUGGUUUAAAUUCGAUGAUACGCGAGGAACCUUACCAAGGUUUAAAAUGGGAAGCGACGUAGGUAGAGAUACCUAUUUCUUCGGACGCUUUUCAAGGUGCUGCAUGGUUGUCGUCAGCUCGUGCCGUGAGGUGUCAGGUUAAGUCCUAUAACGAGCGCAACCCCUGCCUUUAUUUGCCAUCGAGUAGAGUCGGGCACUAUAGAGGGACUGCCGGUGCGAAACCGUGAGGAAGGUGGGGAUGACGUCAAAAUCAUCACGGCCCUUACAAUCUUGGGCUACACACGUGCUACAAAUGGUCGUUACGAAAAGCAGGCCGAACGGGUGACCGUGAGGAAUUCUUAAAAAACAUCACAGGUUGGAUUGGGGUUCUGCGGCUGGACUCCGUAAGGCUGGAUCGGCUAGUAUCGGGGCUCAGGCCGGGGCGCGGUAAAGACUUUCCCGGGCCCAGCACGCACCCGCCCUC